This 468-nucleotide ribosomal RNA is filed under the name uncultured bacterium. Its description in RNAcentral is "partial 16S ribosomal RNA". It matches the Rfam family "Bacterial small subunit ribosomal RNA", at positions 28 to 507 of the family's 1533-position model. The record is from RNAcentral.
GACGAACGCUGGCGGCGUGCUUAACACAUGCAAGUCGAACGGAAAGGCCCUGCUUUUGUGGGGUGCUCGAGUGGCGAACGGGUGAGUAACACGUGAGUAACCUGCCCUUGACUUUGGGAUAACUUCAGGAAACUGGGGCUAAUACCGGAUAGGAGCUCCUGCUGCAUGGUGGGGGUUGGAAAGUUUCGGCGGUUGGGGAUGGACUCGCGGCUUAUCAGCUUGUUGGUGGGGUAGUGGCUUACCAAGGCUUUGACGGGUAGCCGGCAUGAGAGGGUGACCGGCCACAUUGGGACUGAGAUACGGCCCAGACUCGUACGGGAGGCAGCAGGGGGGAAUAUUGCACAAUGGGCGGAAGCCUGAUGCAGCAACGCCGCGUGCGGGAUGACGGCCUUCGGGUUGUAAACCGCUUUCGCCUGUGACGAAGCGUGAGUGACGGUAAUGGGUAAAGAAGCACCGGCUAACUACGUG